UACGUAGGGUGCGAGCGUUGUCCGGAAUUAUUGGCGUAAAGAGCUCGUAGGCGGCUUGUCGCGUCGGAUGUGAAAGCCCGGGGCUUAACUCCGGGUCUGCAUUCGAUACGGGCAGGCUAGAGUUCGGUAGGGGAGAUCGGAAUUCCUGGUGUAGCGGUGAAAUGCGCAGAUAUCAGGAGGAACACCGGUGGCGAAGGCGGAUCUCUGGGCCGAUACUGACGCUGAGGAGCGAAAGCGUGGGGAGCGAACAGG
RNAcentral lists this ribosomal RNA (252 nucleotides) under uncultured bacterium. Its description in RNAcentral is "partial 16S ribosomal RNA". It matches the Rfam family "Bacterial small subunit ribosomal RNA", at positions 524 to 776 of the family's 1533-position model. The record is from RNAcentral.